This 229-nucleotide ribosomal RNA is filed under the name uncultured bacterium. RNAcentral's name for it is "partial 16S ribosomal RNA". It matches the Rfam family "Bacterial small subunit ribosomal RNA", at positions 568 to 796 of the family's 1533-position model. The record is from RNAcentral.
UUCGUAGGCGGGAUAUUAAGUCAGUGGUGAAAUCCUACAGCUUAACUGUAGAACUGCCAUUGAUACUGAUAUUCUUGAAUUCACCUGAAGUAGGCGGAACAUGACAUGUAGCGGUGAAAUGCUUAGAUAUGUCAUAGAACACCGAUUGCGAAGGCAGCUUACUAAAGUGAUAUUGACGCUAAGGAACGAAAGCGUGGGGAGCGAACAGGAUUAGAUACCCUGGUAGUCC